RNAcentral lists this ribosomal RNA (301 nucleotides) under uncultured bacterium. RNAcentral's name for it is "partial 16S ribosomal RNA". It matches the Rfam family "Bacterial small subunit ribosomal RNA", at positions 509 to 807 of the family's 1533-position model. The record is from RNAcentral.
CAGUAGCCGCGGUAAUACGGAGGGUGCAAGCGUUACUCGGAAUCACUGGGCGUAAAGGACGCGUAGGCGGAUUAUCAAGUCUCUUGUGAAAUCUAACGGCUUAACCGUUAAACUGCUUGGGAAACUGAUAAUCUAGAGUAAGGGAGAGGCAGAUGGAAUUCUUGGUGUAGGGGUAAAAUCCGUAGAUAUCAAGAAGAAUACCUAUUGCGAAGGCGAUCUGCUGGAACUUAACUGACGCUGAGGCUCGAAAGCGUGGGGAGCAAACAGGAUUAGAUACCCCUGUAGUCCCUGUCUCUUAUAC